AUUGAACGCUGGCGGCAUGCCUUACACAUGCAAGUCGAACGGCAGCAUGGAGAGCUUGCUCUCUGAUGGCGAGUGGCGAACGGGUGAGUAAAGCAUCGGAACGCACCGUGUAGUGGGGGAUAACGUAGCGAAAGUUACGCUAAUACCGCAUACGCACUGAGGUGGUAAGCAGGGGAUCGCAAGACCUUGCGCUAUACGAGCGGCCGAUGUCAGAUUAGCUAGUUGGUAGGGUAAAGGCCUACCAAGGCGACGAUCCGUAGCGGGUCUGAGAGGAUGAUCCGCCACACUGGGACUGAGACACGGCCCAGACUCCUACGGGAGGCAGCAGUGGGGAAUUUUGGACAAUGGGGGCAACCCUGGUCCAGCCAUGCCGCGUGAGUGAAGAAGGCCUUCGGGUUGUAAAGCUCUUUCGGCCGGGAAGAAAUCGCACAGGCUAAUACUCUGUGUGGAUGACGGUACCGGCAUAAGAAGCACCGGCUAACUACGUGCCAGCCGCCGCCGUAA
Molecule: ribosomal RNA, 504 nt
Filed under: uncultured bacterium
Lineage: Bacteria
Description: partial 16S ribosomal RNA
Rfam family: Bacterial small subunit ribosomal RNA
Source: RNAcentral